RNAcentral lists this ribosomal RNA (49 nucleotides) under Clostridioides difficile. RNAcentral's name for it is "partial 16S ribosomal RNA". The record is from RNAcentral. Lineage: Bacteria; Bacillati; Bacillota; Clostridia; Peptostreptococcales; Peptostreptococcaceae.
UUUUAUUUGAGAGUUUGAUCCUGGCUCAGGAUGAACGCUGGCGGCGUGC